AGAGAAACUGGCAGGCAACUUCCUUGGGGAUUAGGUGUGAUAGAGGGUAGGUACCCAGGAUUGUGCUAUUUUUCUGGUACAAUAAUGUUGGCCAGGGUCACAACCACAUGCAACCAUGAUAGUGGCUUUCUCUGAUUUUUGCCAUAGAGCUUGCUUUCCUUUUUGACAGAGCCUGUAGGCAUGAUGCAUUCCCACUCUUUGCUCCAAAUCAGGUAAGUUCCCUGAAGCAGCAAAACUGCUGCCUUUCAUGCUUUGCCCAGCCCAGGUAGAACAGCUGUGCAGAUGGAAGUGGAGGGGGCUUUGGUAUGGGGAUGGCUCCAAGCUCAAAUGCCACUUCCUCUGUUCUUACCCCAAGUUCAGUAGUUCUUGUUGAAUAAAGCUUUCUUGUAAGCCUUUGGGCUUUUUCUAGGCUCCUGAAAAGAGCUGGGACAAUUUUGUGCCAUUUUAUCAUUGUUUUUGGAGAGAGGAAUUGCUGAACUCCUCACUCUACUGUUUUGGAAGUUCUGCAUUCUGGGUCCAAUUUUUAUUUUUAUUUAUUUUUUAAAUUUCUUUUCAGUGUUCCAGAAUUCAUUGUUUAUGCACCACACAAGCCCUCUAAGUACCCACCACCAGGUUAACCCAACCUCCCACCCCCCGGCAUUCCAAAACCCUCAGGUUGUUUUUCAGAGUCCACAGUCUCUCAUGGUUUGUCUCCCUCUCCAGUUUCCCCCAACUCUCUUCUCCUCUCCAUCUCCCCAGGUCCUCCGUGUUAUUCCUUAUGCUCCACAAAUAAGUGAAACCAUAUGAUAAUUGACUCUCUCUGCUUGACUUACUUCACUCAGCAUAAUCUCUUCCAGUCCUGUCCAUGUUGCUACAAAAGUUGGGUAUUCAUCCUUUCUGAUGGAGGCAUAAUACUUCAUAGUGUAUAUGGACCACAUCUUCCUUAUCCAUUCAUCCAUCGAAGGGCAUCUUGGUUCUUUCCACAGUUUGGCGAUGGUGGCCUUUGCUGCUAUGAACAUUGGGAUUAAUAAUUGGAAACAUGAGUGCCUUGUGCAGUUAUGACAGAUUGUUGGUGUCAGAACUGGGUUUGGAAAUGGAUCAUUCACAAGGCAGUCAUUGCUUCCUCUUUCCCCGUGAGGGACAGGUACUGACAUCCUUUCUCUGCAGGCUCAACUC
RNAcentral lists this long non-coding RNA (1155 nucleotides) under Mustela putorius furo (domestic ferret). RNAcentral describes it as "lncRNA (ENSMPUG00000025276.1)". Lineage: Eukaryota; Metazoa; Chordata; Mammalia; Carnivora; Mustelidae. The record is from RNAcentral.